This is an RNA transcript of Helicoverpa armigera (cotton bollworm), 3555 nucleotides long. RefSeq lists it as uncharacterized. NCBI's taxonomy places the organism in Eukaryota, Metazoa, Arthropoda, Insecta, Lepidoptera, Noctuidae. The transcript is spliced from 4 exons. The record is from RefSeq and is a predicted model, not a curated record.
UGAGUACCAGUUUCAUAUGCAUUUACUCCAGAAUUUGCAACAACAAUCAUAAUACGUGGCCUAGAUACAUACUGCCUAACAUAUCGGAUAACGAAUCAGUACGCUAAAGUUAGUUAUUUUUUUUACAACUGUAUAUAAUCUCUCGCUAGUGAACGUAGUUGUGUGGACGAAUGUAAUUUAGACAAUAUUAAUGUAAUUAUAGGUUAGGAAGAUAAUGUAUUUAUUAAGAUUGUCACUUAUCUUAGGUCACGGUCGGCUUCGUUUUGUGAAACGCUUUUGGUGGAACUGGCUUUAGUUAAAAAAUAUCUGCGCAUACAAAUCCAACAAUAAGAAGUAGGUACUACAUAUCGCUUGCUUAGUAUUAAAGUGACCGAAUUCAAAAUCAAUCAAUCAUGAGUUAGAUACACUGUCAUCUUUAAAACAACGCCAUCUGUGACAAACUCCAAGAAACUCUUAAAAAGUUAGAGUUAUACUGCUCUUACAAUGUUUCGGUCUCUUUCACACUUAUGAAUUUGAAGACGCCAUUUUGACAUUACACUGACACAUUCAGUAAUCGUUUAACCGGCUCAAAACGAACAUCUGGUCGUUUGUCAUAAAAGUGACCUAUUAAUAUUUAGGAUUGUGUAACAGUGAAAUCGAAGACGAUUUGUUGUGAUGCAACUAAAGAGCCCGAAAAUGUUACGAAUAUUAUUCCAACUCAAAGUGCUGAUGUCCAGACGAUGAUAUGUGACGCAUCUAAAGAGCCCGAAAAUGAUACUGAUAUUGUUUCAACUCAAAGUGGUGAUGUCCAGAUGUUAUGUGAUGUUUAUAAUAAACCCGAAAAUCAACGACAUUUGAAUGCCUCUGAGUAUUUCAAACAUACUGAAGGCCGUAACAAGGCAGUUAUAGAUUAUCGUGUGUCACCUGUUAAUUCUGGAGAAAGCGACGCAGAUUUAAGUGAUGGCGAUCCUACUUUCGAAACCGUACAAAGGGCCAACAGGGUAGUCAUUUGCUAUUUCCCCGUACCCGUAGUUCAAGUUCGAGUAGUAGUUCUUCUUCAACUUCAGACUCAAGUUCAUCAUCUGAUAGCUCUAACGAAGAGACUUUGGAAGAACAGUUAAAUGCCAAUAACACAGAAAAUAGAACACCUGAGCCAACAAGAGAGUUAGACGGAGGAACAAUGGAGAAUCAAGAUAAUUUAACAGAAGACACAACUUCCGGAACACCUACAGUUUCUACUAAGCCAAAAGGUAAAAAACGCACUAGACAACCGGAAAACUGGAAGCAAACUAGAGCAAAAAAAUUGAGAAAUUGUGGUAAGUCAUAUAUUAAUAGUAAAAAUAUUAUAACUAAAGCUCGUGAACUUAAACCACCAUGUAAUGACCAGUGCAGGCUGCAAUGUUCUAGCAAGAUUGAUUCUGUUCAAAGGCAAAGUAUUUUCGACGCAUACUGGGAACUUGGAGAUAUUCAUAAUCAGCGAUCUUUCAUUUUGUCGUGUUUAUCUGAUAUCACACCCAGAUAUAAAUAUACCAAUGCAUUGACCCCACGGCAUUGUAACAAAGCUUUCCAUUUUGUUGUUGCUGGUAAUUCGAUCAGAGUUUGUAAAACCUUUUUUACUAAUACUUUGAACAUAUCCGAUCGUAUGAUUCGUACUGUUAAACAUAAGACUGAUAAACAUGGAAUUUUGAAGACGGAUUGUAGAGGAAUAACCGGUAAUCAUAAAUCAGAUGAAGUAUUAAUUUCUGACAUCAAAGAAUUUAUCAAUUCUAUUCCAAGAACUGAUUCUCAUUACACACGACAAUCAUCGACCCGUGAAUACAUAGACGGUGGAAAAACGAUAGUAGAUCUCUUUAAAGACUUUGAAGAAGUCCAAAAACAAAAAAAUAAGCCAGCAGGAAAGUAUUGCACAUUUUAUAAGGUUUUUAAUACACAAUUCAAUAUAUCAUUUUUUCGCCCAAGAAAGGAUCAAUGCGACACAUGUUUGCAAUACCAGAAUUCAUCGCCUGAACAAAAACUUAUUAUUCAAGAAAAAUAUGAUUCCCAUUUAGAAGAAAAAACCCUCAGCCGACAGGAAAAAUAUAAUGACCGACUUAAAAUUGAUGACAGUAAUAAAGUAAUUUUGUUCGACCUCCAAGCUGUUCUUCAAUCACCUAAAGGGGACACUUCAGCUUUCUAUUACAAAAGUAAGCUCAAUAGCUAUAAUUUCACUGUUGCCUCCUUAAACAAAAAAGUAGAAGGCAAAGUACAGGAAUCGUACAGUAACGUGCAUUGUUAUUUUUGGAAUGAAACUGAUGCAAAAAGAGGUGCCAAUGAAAUAGGCUCUUGUCUACUCCAUUAUUUCGAACAACUUUGUAUCGAAUCCAGGGCUACUAAUGAGGAAGGCAUCAAUCUUAUACUGUAUUCGGACAAUUGCGGAGGACAAAAUAAAAAUAAAUAUAUCGUUACACUUUAUCUUUACGCAGUUACACAUCUUAAUAUUAAUUCCAUCACACAUAAAUACUUAAUCAAAGGGCAUACGCAGAAUGAAGCCGAUAACAUACAUAGCCUUAUAGAAAAAGAGGUAAAAAAGAAUUUAAGAUCUGGACCUAUAUAUUCACCACACCAAUAUGUAUCAAUAAUUAAAAAUGCACGAAAAUCAGGAAACAAAUUUAUAGUAAAUGAGCGUACAUUUCAUGACUUUUAUGACUUGAAAAAGUUACAAGAAGCUUGGGGAUACAAUUUUAAUAAAACAAAGAAUGGAGAUAAUAUUGUAUGGAAUGACGUAAAAAUGAUUAAGGUGACAAAGAAAAACCCCUUUUCAUUUUUUAUAAAAAAAUCUUAUAAACAGGAUUUUUUGGAAGUAUGUGUAAGAAACAGGCGAACCAAAAUGUUGCCUUUAAACGAGUUAACGCUAGUCAAAGCGUACACUGGAAAACAAGAGCUAAGUGAAAAUAAAAAAAAAGAUUUACGCGAAUUAUUGUCUAAGAAUUUGAUCCCUAACUUUUAUUCUGACUUUUAUAAUUCCAUUCUUUAAUCAGUAAAGGUAAAGAUGACUCCUCCGUUUUCAUCUUAUAUUUUUAAAUAAUUUAUGUUUUGUUAACUGAUUUAUACCUAGACUGCGGACCUACUAAGAAUACCAUAACGCUGAUUAGAUUCGCUAAGAUCUCUUUUAAUUUUGCUACGAUGUUAUAAUUAUAGUUUAUAAUAGUUAUCAUAGUUUUUUACAAUACUAUAUACUACUUUGUAUAAAAAAACUAUAUUUGCUUUUUGUUAAUUUUGAAGGUAUAUGAAAAUGUAUACUAUUUUUUUUAUUAUAUUUCUCGUAAUCAUUUAAAUAAAGACUUGUAAUUUAAAAAGCGAUAGUUAGGAUAGAAGAGUGAUUUUUGUGAACUGAUGUAAACCUACUUAGAAUACCAUGAGACUGAUUGAUUUAUUGCUUAGAAGUUAAGAUCUCUUUUAAUUAUAUUAAUAAGUUCGGUAUAAAAACAUCUAACAUCUUCUAUUAAUAAGUGUUAAAAUGAAAAUAACAGUUUUUUUAUAAUUUUAGUUCCUUAAUGUUGAUCUCUUUUUUUUAAUUAAAAACCGUAACUACAAAAA